RNAcentral lists this ribosomal RNA (472 nucleotides) under uncultured bacterium. RNAcentral's name for it is "bacterial SSU rRNA". It matches the Rfam family "Bacterial small subunit ribosomal RNA", at positions 1 to 472 of the family's 1533-position model. The record is from RNAcentral.
UGAGUUUGAUCAUGGCUCAGAUUGAACGCUGGCGGCAGGCCUAACACAUGCAAGUCGAACGGUAGCACAGAGAGCUUGCUCUCGGGUGACGAGUGGCGGACGGGUGAGUAAUGUCUGGGAAACUGCCUGAUGGAGGGGGAUAACUACUGGAAACGGUAGCUAAUACCGCAUAACGUCGCAAGACCAAAGAGGGGGACCUUCGGGCCUCUUGCCAUCAGAUGUGCCCAGAUGGGAUUAGCUAGUAGGUGGGGUAACGGCUCACCUAGGCGACGAUCCCUAGCUGGUCUGAGAGGAUGACCAGCCACACUGGAACUGAGACACGGUCCAGACUCCUACGGGAGGCAGCAGUGGGGAAUAUUGCACAAUGGGCGCAAGCCUGAUGCAGCCAUGCCGCGUGUAUGAAGAAGGCCUUCGGGUUGUAAAGUACUUUCAGCGGGGAGGAAGGUGUUGCGGUUAAUAACCGCAGCAAUGA